This 65-nucleotide transfer RNA is filed under the name Stenopsyche tienmushanensis. RNAcentral describes it as "tRNA-Gly". The record is from RNAcentral. Lineage: Eukaryota; Metazoa; Arthropoda; Insecta; Trichoptera; Stenopsychidae.
AUUUAUAUAAUAUAUCUUAGUAUAUUUAACUUCCAAUUAAAAAGUUUAAACAUUUAAUAUAAAUA